RNAcentral lists this ribosomal RNA (308 nucleotides) under uncultured crenarchaeote MCG. RNAcentral describes it as "bacterial SSU rRNA". It matches the Rfam family "Archaeal small subunit ribosomal RNA", at positions 429 to 737 of the family's 1478-position model. The record is from RNAcentral. Lineage: Archaea; Thermoproteati; Thermoproteota.
GGAGGAAUAAGGAGAGGGCAAGUCUGGUGUCAGCCGCCGCGGUAAUACCAGCUCUCCGAGUGGUAGGGAUGAUUAUUGGGCUUAAAGCGUCCGUAGCCGGCCGGGCAAGUCUCCCGUUAAAUCCAGCGAUCUAAUCGUUGGACUGCGGGAGAUACUGUUGGGCUAGGAGGCGGGAGAGGCCGACGGUAUUCCCGGGGUAGGGGUGAAAUCCUAUAAUCCCGGGAAGACCACCAGUGGCGAAGGCUGUCGGCUAGAACGCGCUCGACGGUGAGGGACGAAAGCUGGGGGAGCGAACAGGAUUAGAUACC